GUCCCUUCGGGAACAUCUGAUAAAGUUGGAAUGAUACAGGGAAGAUUGGCACGAAUCCUUCGCAAGGAUGACACACAAAAUUUAGAAAUUAUCAAAAGAAAA
Molecule: non-coding RNA, 102 nt
Organism: Hordeum vulgare subsp. vulgare (domesticated barley)
Lineage: Eukaryota; Viridiplantae; Streptophyta; Magnoliopsida; Poales; Poaceae
Source: Rfam